ACAUAAACUCUUGAGACUUCAGAUGUGGAGAUGUUUUGUGAGAAGCUUUGAAAUCCACUGGCAUACACCAUUCUUUUAUUCAAGACAAAUAUGCGAGAGAAUCAGCAGGAGUCCAUUCUGACUUCUAGAGAGUGCCCUGGAGCAGUCCACAGGAAGGUGCUGGAAAAGGCAGCCGCAGAUAGUCCAGCAUCCAACCUAGUGUCAUGCACACAGUUGGGACUCAGCCACUGUUGCCUGAUUGAUAAUGAAGACAGUCACUGUGAUCAACCCAACAGUAAUUGAACGUUCAUUUUUAAUAAGAGAUGAGGAAACUGAAGCCUGAGAACAACAUGAAUUCUACAAUACAUUUACCGUCAGAAGGCAGCGGUGUCAACGGCCACGACGACACCUGGAACUGAUUCCAAGACUUGUGGUCACCGUGGGAAUGCUAUUUAUUGUACAUAGUGACUCACAAAUCUAGGUUAUGUGAACUAUA
Molecule: long non-coding RNA, 475 nt
Filed under: Homo sapiens (human)
Lineage: Eukaryota; Metazoa; Chordata; Mammalia; Primates; Hominidae
Description: HSALNT0347335
Source: RNAcentral